UGGCGGACGGGUGAGUAACGCGUGGAAAACCUGCCGUAUACUGGGGGAUAACACUUAGAAAUAGGUGCUAAUACCGCAUAAGCGCACAGCUUCGCAUGAAGCGGUGUGAAAAACUCUGGUGGUAUACGAUGGUUCCGCGUCUGAUUAGCUAGUUGGUGGGGUAAUGGCCUACCAAGGCAACGAUCAGUAGCCGGCCUGAGAGGGUGAACGGCCACAUUGGGACUGAGACACGGCCAAACUCCUACGGAAGGCAGCAG
This 257-nucleotide ribosomal RNA is filed under the name uncultured bacterium. Its description in RNAcentral is "partial 16S ribosomal RNA". It matches the Rfam family "Bacterial small subunit ribosomal RNA", at positions 96 to 354 of the family's 1533-position model. The record is from RNAcentral.